AACCGAGAACUCCUACGGGAGGCAGCAGUGGGGAAUAUUGCACAAUGGGCGAAAGCCUGAUGCAGCGACGCCGCGUGGGGGAUGACGGCCUUCGGGUUGUAAACCCCUUUCAGUAGGGAAGAAGCGAGAGUGACGGUACCUGCAGAAGAAGCGCCGGCUAACUACGUGCCAGCAGCCGCGGUAAUACGUAGGGCGCAAGCGUUGUCCGGAAUUAUUGGGCGUAAAGAGCUUGUAGGUGGCUUGUCGCGUCUGCCGUGAAAACCCGAGGCUCAACCUCGGGCGUGCGGUGGGUACGGGCAGGCUAGAGUGUGGUAGGGGAGACUGGAACUCCUGGUGUAGCGGUGAAAUGCGCAGAUAUCAGGAAGAACACCGAUGGCGAAGGCAGGUCUCUGGGCCAUUACUGACACUGAGAAGCGAAAGCAUGGGUAGCGAACAGGAUUAGAUACCCUGGUAGUCCGACUGAGA
This 465-nucleotide ribosomal RNA is filed under the name uncultured bacterium. RNAcentral describes it as "bacterial SSU rRNA". It matches the Rfam family "Bacterial small subunit ribosomal RNA", at positions 327 to 805 of the family's 1533-position model. The record is from RNAcentral.